This 453-nucleotide ribosomal RNA is filed under the name uncultured Porphyromonadaceae bacterium. RNAcentral's name for it is "partial 16S ribosomal RNA". It matches the Rfam family "Bacterial small subunit ribosomal RNA", at positions 341 to 792 of the family's 1533-position model. The record is from RNAcentral. Lineage: Bacteria; Pseudomonadati; Bacteroidota; Bacteroidia; Bacteroidales; Porphyromonadaceae.
ACGGAAGGCAGCAGUGAGGAAUAUUGGUCAAUGGACGAGAGUCUGAACCAGCCAAGUCGCGUGAAGGAAGACGGUUCUAUGGAUUGUAAACUUCUUUUGUCCGAGGGUAAAGUGAGAGAUGCGUCUCUUAUUGCAAGUAUCGGACGAAUAAGCAUCGGCUAACUCCGUGCCAGCAGCCGCGGUAAUACGGAGGCUGCGAGCGUUAUCCGGAUUUAUUGGGUUUAAAGGGUGCGUAGGCGGAUGAUUAAGUCUGUGGUGAAAGCGUGCGGCUCAACCGUACCGAGCCAUGGAAACUGGUUGUCUUGAGUGUAAACGAGGUAGGCGGAAUGUGACAUGUAGCGGUGAAAUGCUUAGAUAUGUCACAGAACUCCGAUUGCGAAGGCAGCUUACCAGCAUACAACUGACGCUGAGGCACGAAAGCGUGGGUAUCAAACAGGAUUAGAUACCCUGGUA